AGUCAGAUGAGUUGGAAAGACACCACAUCGUUCCUGUAAAACGCAUACAGUUUGAUUGUUGUGAUGAGUAGAACGAAAAUGUCCGAGGCAAGCUGUUUGCUACCAUAAAACUUACACAUGAAGAACACUUUCAAGUUUAAGUUUUUCCACAAUGAUGGUUACAAACCUUCUAUCCUAAAGUGUGCUGUCCUAUACCAUAACCCAGACCACGCCUUUUUUCACCUGGAGGCCAGAUUGCUGCACAGUAAAUGGGAAAGCUGGUUCGAAAGCAUGGAAAUUAAGCUGUGUUGACAUAUUUGGGGACGAUAACAAGGGAG
This is a long non-coding RNA of Liolophura sinensis, 317 nucleotides long. RefSeq lists it as uncharacterized. The transcript is spliced from 3 exons. The record is from RefSeq and is a predicted model, not a curated record. NCBI's taxonomy places the organism in Eukaryota, Metazoa, Mollusca, Polyplacophora, Chitonida, Chitonidae.